AGUAAAAGUCGUAACAAGGUUUCNGUAGGUGAACNUGCGGAAGGAUCAUUACCGAAUCCGUUCAAAACCUUUACACACUGUGAACUCGGUCGCGCACCGUGCGCGCAUGUCUCCUUUCGGGGUUGCCUAUUGGCGGCAUUAAAUCGUGCUGCUCUAGCUCGUCUCUUCCGACAGAAGGAUUGAGCAAGAGCUUGUGCGGGCCCCGUCUGGAGUAUGCGUGUCGGUGCGUGGUUUUCUCACCGCACACCCUGCGUGUGCACCUUCGUUUUACUUAAACCAAGCAAAUUUGCAGACAGAACUGUGGGCUUUCUUUGGAAAGCUUGUCUAAUGAUGAAAUCAUUGACAACUUUCAACGGUCCAUCUCUUGGCUCGUGGAUCGAUGAAGAACGCAGCAAGACGCGAUAUGUAGUGUGAAUUGCAGAAUCAAGUGAAUCAUCGAAUCUGCGAACGCAAAUGGCGCUCCUGCCUAUUCCCAGGAGCAUGUCUGUCUCAGUGUCGUACUCACCUCGAACGCGCUUCGGCGCGGUGGUCUUGAGGCGUCUGAGAGACUGCCUUCGUCCGGUUCGAGCGUUCGAUCGCUCGUUCUCUGUCGAUUGCAGUGCCUUUCAGUCCCUUGAAAUGCAGUGGCCGAACGUUGUGCACAAGCAUGGCCUCGGGUCGGUUCGCCCCGGUUCUGCUCGCACGGCUGAUCAGUCCGUCGUGUUGCAGCUGCCGUCGGGUGCACUAGACAUCGUGCUGGCUCAAAUCGUUCGAAACAAGCCAUCUCUGGAUAACUCGAGCGCGUACGAACGUACAGCGCAACACCUCCGACCUGAGAUCAGGCAAGACUACCCGCUGANUUUAAGCAUAUUAAUAAGCGGA
This 861-nucleotide ribosomal RNA is filed under the name Leucetta floridana. Its description in RNAcentral is "eukaryotic LSU rRNA". The stretch from base 345 to 498 matches the Rfam family "5.8S ribosomal RNA". The record is from RNAcentral. Lineage: Eukaryota; Metazoa; Porifera; Calcarea; Clathrinida; Leucettidae.